GACUGAAGGCUGAAAUUCGCCUUCCAUGAAGCUGGAAUUGCUAGUAAUGGCAGGUCAGCAUACUGCCGUGAGUACGUUCCCGGGCCCUUGUACACACCGCCCGUCACACCAUGAGAGUUGGAAAUACCCGAAGCCUGUGAGCUAACUUAAAGAGGCAGCAGUCGAAGGUAGAGCCAAUGAUUGGGGUGAAGUCGUAACAAGGUACC
Molecule: ribosomal RNA, 206 nt
Filed under: uncultured bacterium
Lineage: Bacteria
Description: partial 16S ribosomal RNA
Rfam family: Bacterial small subunit ribosomal RNA
Source: RNAcentral